RNAcentral lists this ribosomal RNA (253 nucleotides) under uncultured bacterium. Its description in RNAcentral is "partial 16S ribosomal RNA". It matches the Rfam family "Bacterial small subunit ribosomal RNA", at positions 524 to 776 of the family's 1533-position model. The record is from RNAcentral.
UACGUAGGGGGCAAGCGUUGUCCGGAAUCAUUGGGCGUAAAGCGCGUGUAGGCGGCCAGAAAAGUCCGCUGUGAAAACUCGAGGCUCAACUUCGAGCUGUCGGUGGAAACUUUCUGGCUAGAGUCCGGAAGAGGAGAAUGGAAUUCCUGGUGUAGCGGUGAAAUGCGCAGAUAUCAGGAAGAACACCCGUGGCGAAGGCGGUUCUCUGGGACGGUACUGACGCUGAGGCACGAAAGCGUGGGGAGCAAACAGG